AAUUCAUUUGAAGAUCCUGCUUCUGGUAUGCUGGGAGGUGAGUAGAUGUGUUGGGAAGUGUGUGGGGUUCUCUUCUGAGUGCAUCGGUUUUUUCAGUGGACUAGGAAGCAGAGUCAUCAACUGUGAAAAUCAAGGUUUAAGAAAGUGUUGGCAGUUGAGGAGAGGGGAGGAGUAGGAAGUCACAGGUGGAGAGUGAGGGUAGGAAAUGAAUAAGGUCGCCUUAGAUCUCACUAGUAUGAGAUCCCUCCUCAUGCUUGUUUGUCUUCAGCCACACUCACCUACUGGGGACAGUUACAGAGUAGACAGAGAACUAUGUUCACCAGAGUCAGGGUUUUGCCAAAUGAGGAUAGUGAAACUAGAGAAGGGGCAAUGGAUUCUGAAGUGUGAACAGAAGGGAUUAUGGCGACCAUCUGUGAAAUCAGGCAGUUUAAGGAGGAAGGAGACUAUAACAGAGGCACAGAGAAAAGGCUAAAGGAUCCACGGUCUGUAGAAAUCUAAGGAUUUUUCGAGCAAAUGUACUGAUUGGAGAUAUUUGUGUCUUUUCAUUUUCAUAGACCUUAACACCUUUUUUUGUUUGUUUUUUGCAAGGGAAAACUGAGAUUGGAAUCUAGGGUCUCAUGUUAGACAAGCACUAUAUUCCUGGGCUACAGCCUCAGUCAUUUCCUUUCUUUCUUUUUUGGUACUGAGGAUUGAACCCAAAGGUUCCCCAAGCCCUUUUUAUUUUUUAAUUUUGAGAGAUGAUCUCGCUUAGUUGCUUAAGGCCUUGCUAAAUUGCUUAGGCUAGCUUUGAACUUGUGAUUCUCUUGCCUCAGCCUCCCCAGUCACUGGGAUUACAGACUUGCACCACCACUCCCAGCUCUCAAUCCUUUUCUCAUAGACCUUUACUGUCCUUGUCUGAAUAUGUGACACAGCAAAUGCAAUUCAGGCAUCAAUGGCCAUGAUGUGGUGUGAAGUUUAUUGUUUAAAAUUUUUUUUACAAAUCGUAUUCUAAAACUAAUAGUUUUAGGAAAGCUACGAUUAGGACAGGCUUCUCAAAAUCUUUGGUAGUAAUGAAAAGUAAUAGCAAUCCUAAUAAAAAUUUUAGUUUAAAUAAAAAGAGACAUUAAAUUUUUAAUAAGUAAACUCCAUAAUAUAUGUACUUUAUCCUUUUAAAAGAAAGAUGAAGAUGAUGUGAUGGAAGAGAGGGAAGGCCAGUGGAGUCUGUGGAACUGUGGAGAUGAGGGUGAAUGAUAAAAACAGAGAACUGCUGAGUGAGCAGUUUAAGAAAGAGCUGGUGGCCAGCCAGACAGGCAAGGAGAAGGGUAUAGGUUCAAAGAACUUGGUGUGUGGUGCUGUGUUCCCCUGGCUGGUUGUAUUUAGUUAUGUUGGGCCACUUCAAAUUCAGCUGCUGCACCUUGUAUCAGCAUAUCAAAUAUCAACCAAAAUUAUGUAAUAUUUUCUACUGAUGUCAUUACCUUAUUUGCUGAUCAUGUGUAGGCUAUUUUAUUUUAGAAAAUUUGUAUUGUUAUAGAACAGACUGCACUUUAAUUAUUUAUAAAGUCUUAGAAGCAGGUCAUAAAACUCUGUUUUGGAAUGCAGUAAAAAGAAUUGGAUUAUUUACCAGUACUCCAUGCUCUAGCCUGACCCAGUUUCUUUGAGGGUGUAAAUCAGCAUGCUGACUUAGUGUGUAGUCUCCCCACCACACUCAGUCCCAGAGAGGUCCUCCUCAUGCCUCAGGAUCUAGUCCAAGCAUCAUAUUCUCCUGAAGACCUUCCUUUUCUCGCCCAUCUUUAUGACAUGACUCAAGGGUAAAUCUACCCUUUUGACACUGGGAACUCCUUUCAGAGUUAGCAUUGUGUUUUAUUUAUCUCUUCAUACUCUCACUGAAGCAGUCUCAGUAUGAGUCUAAAUACUUUUUAAAUAUUUUGAUUUUAUUUUUUCCUGAGACUUCAUCAGUGUAAACAGGACCUGGUGAUGCAUCCCUGUAAUCCCAGUGACUCAGGCGGCUAUGGCAGGAGGAUCAUAAGUUUAAGGCCAGCCUGGGCAACUUAACAAGUUGCCCUGACUCAAAACAAAAACUUAAAAGGGCUGAGGAUAUAAUUCAUUGAGUGCCCCUGGGUUCAAUCCCUAGUAUACACACACACACCAAAAGAAACACAAGAGACUUCCUGAACAUACAGCAUUUCUUUUGGGGUCUUAGAAAGGCCUCUCAGAAUUACUGAGUUUACUGAAGUUUCUGUUAGUUUCACCCAAUCACCACUUGCCCAUCAGGCUUACCCUAAGAGACCCAAUUCUUACAUACCCACAAGGCAGUGCCACAACUCACAGCUUACUAUUUUAAACUUACCUACUAGAUGCAACAUAUUUGUUACAUUCUGCAGUUUUAUUCUGCUUUUAUAUUACUGUUAUUUAUUUUUUACUAAAGCCACUUUUUAAAAAAAAAAAUUAUUUUUUAAAAGUAAAUUGUACUUUACAGGAAAAAUAAAAACACAAGCAAAGAACAAAAUCAUCCAGUCACAAGAAGCUUAGCUGGACGUGUCCCUCUAGGUUGUGUGCAUAUAUACACAAUAUCCCAUUUUGAGUGAUUGAGAUUGUGGUGUGUAGCAUGCUUUUCCAUACAUCAUGAAUAUUCACCAUUUCAAAAUCCCAAAGCUACAUGAGUAUUUUUUGAUAACCAAGAAUACACUACACCAACUCAAUCUGUUAUCCUUUCUUGGGGACUAAAGCCACUUUUAAGGUGUACAUUUUAAAAAAAAAUUUUUUAGUUGUAGUUGGACACAGUAUCUUUAUUUUAUUUAAUUAUGUUUAUGUUGUGCUAAGGAUUGAACCCAGCACCUUGCCCGUGCUAGAUAAGCACUCUUAUCGCUGAGCCACAACCCCAGCCCCCAAGAUGCACAUUUUUAAGAAUUAAAAAAAAAAAAACAGCAUAUUUUCCUAUUUAGAGGAACAGUUUAGAAAUAAGAUGGAGGGAUUUGGUGCCCAUGAUAAGAACAAAAAAUUUAAUUGUGUUUGUGUAUUUUUCAUAGACAACGUAGGACUGUAGGAGUUAGUGGUGCAGACGAAGAAUGUUAAUGAUUCUGCUUUUUGUCUUUUGGAGGGAGACAGUCAUUCCAGGGGAAGAGCAAAUGAUUCGCUUCUCUGCUUUGGUUCUAACUCCUGCGUUCCUCUCUCACUUGUGCCUUUGUUCCUACAGCUCCCCCUGUUCCUGAGUGGGCCCAGCAGGAGCUUGGCCGCACCAUUCCCUGGAGUCCAGCUGUUGUAGAAAAGUGGUUUCCUUUCUCUAACAUCAGUGGUGCCAGUUCAAACUUGAUGGAGUCAUUUUGGUAAAACUUUCUUAUUUUCUGGGCAUUGAUUAAUAAAAUUAACUCUUAGUUAUCUGCAUACCGGCUUUAAAAAUUUCCAAUUACAGAAAUUUGUCAGUGGGCAUGGUGGCACAUACCUGUAAUUCCAUCUGCUCAAGUCUCUGGGGCAAAAGGAUUGCAAGUUUAAGGUCAGCCUGGGCAACUUAGCAAGAUCCUGUCCCCAAAAUGUAAAAAUUUGGGCUAGGGUUAUGGCUCAGUGGCACACUGUUUGCCUAGCAUGUUCGUGAGGCACUGGGUUCAAUCCUUAACACCGCAUUAAAAAUAAUAAUAAUAAUAAUAAAGGCAUACUGUCCAUCUACAACAACAAAACAUUUUUUUUAAAGUAUAAACUUUUAAAGGGGUCUGGGGAUGUAGCUCAGUGGUAGAGCAUUUGCCUACAUAUAAGGCCUUAGGAUUGACCCCAAUUCCAUAAAAAGAAAAAAAAUAAAUUGUCAAAUUAAAUAUUUAAAAAAUGCCCCCAUAUAUUAUGGAUGCAGAAAAAAAACAAAAAAGAUUCUAUUUUGUAUUCAUUAGAUUGCUAGAAAUUAAUAAAUCUGAAAAUAGCAAGGAAAAUGUAAACUGUAGGUGAUGGAAAUAUAAAUGGUUAGAGCCAUUUUAAAAGAAUAAUUUGGAAAUUCUUUGUAAGCCACAGUUUACAUGCUCUUGCUAUACAGAAAUUCCACUUAAAGCCAUCUAAUAAAUUCUUAUACAGACACAUAUUCAUUGUUAAUCAGAAAUAGUGAAAAAGUGGAAAGAACAAGUUGACCCUCAGAAGGAAAAUGAUUAAGUAAAACACAAUAUAGUCAUAUGGUAGAAUAUUAGAGAUUAGUAAAAAUAAACUGGAGCUAUUUAUAUGUACACAGAAAACUGAAAACAAUUACAAGAGAGUGAUAUUAUGUGAUAGUGCAAAAUUGAUAACGUAUUAACUACCAAUUUGUGUUAGUUUUGUUAUAUAUGUGUAUCUCUAAAUAAGAUACACGUAGGGCUGGGAGUGUGGCCCAGUGAUAGAGCACUUGCUUAGCAUACAAAAGGUGCUGGGUUCAAUCCCCAGUACCACAAUAAAUAAAUAAACUAUGAACAAGUAUUUAAUUUUAGUGGGAGGUACAUAUUCUGUUUAUAUUGCAUGCUAAACUUUUCUGAUUGAAAGGUUUGUAUGUUUUUAAAAAUUAACAACAAAAAGAAAGACAAACCUUCCUCAGUGAGAGGACACACCAGCACAGAAAAUAAGAAUUCAUCUGCUUGUAGAUCAGUUUCAUGUGUGAAGCUGGUAGCCUUGCACAUAUCUAAUCUGCAACAUCUGUUCAACAAAUGUUGCCAUAACUUUCUUCCACUCUUUAAUCACAUGAUAUCAAAUAAUGGAUGAUGAUAAAAUUCAAAUAAUAUGUACUUAAAUGUUGUACUGUUUUCAUAAUUUCAUUAGUGAUUGAUCUUUAGAUAGAAACGCACUUAGUAACUAACCAUCCUUCCAGCUCCACUAUCUCCCCUUCUCAUCAUCUCCAUAUUGGUUGUUUUUUUGUGGUUUGGUUGGGGUUUUUUUGCUGUACUAGGGAACAAACUCAGGGCUUCUUGCAUGCCAAACAAGUGCCCUACUACUGAUCCAUAGUCCCCCACCUCACAUUAUUUUUUCACAAUAUGAAAGAAUUAUUCAGAAGUGGUUGCAGUACUAAUUAUUCUGUCUUAACAUCAUCUUGUACUUUAUUAAUGUAUGGAAACUGAGUAAAACGUAACUAUGGAAGCCCAAAGGGAAAUAGUUAUAAUUAGACAUGUAUCCUAAUUCAUCAAGAAUCCUACUAGACAUUGACAUAUGUCUCUAAUCCCUGCUGCUCGGGAGGCUGAGGCAGGAAGAUCUCAAGUUCAAGGCCAGCCUGGGCAACGUAUUGAUGCCCUAAGAGAGCUGGGUUGAUGUAGCUCAGUGUUAGAGUGUUUGUCUACUGUAUGUAAAGCCCUGGGUUCAAUCUGCAGUUCAAUCUGAAUAAAUUGGAACUUUGGUUUUAUACUAGACAUCUUGACUUUGCAGGUUACUACAAGCUACCUCAGCUAAUAAGGAAGAGUUUUCUAAAACUGAGAGUGAAUUAACACGUUGCCUCUCCGAGCACUACCAGAGAAAAUCUCGUGAAGAGUCUACUGUAGCUAAUCAAGAAGACAGCAAAAAGAAACGUAAGCCCAUAGAAAGGCUAUUUCUUAAGGAAGUCUCUUUUCUCUUUAAAGGCCAAUCUUUUUCUUAAGAUGUACAUUUAAAAGAUUAACAUUCCUUGAAUUGAGGUUCAAAUGGUAACUAAAUAAAUGACAAAUUCAUAUAUUUCAAAUUUGCAAAUAUUAAUAUUAGUCCAAUAGUGAUAAAAAUUACAAUCCUAGCUUCCUAAUGAAUAAUAAACUAUCUUCAUCUUUAGUUAUAACAGAUUUAAAUAUAAUUUUUUAUUCUGCUUGUACAGCCUACUUUGCCUUUUUAUUUAUUAUUCUACCUCAUUGCUUAAUAAAAUUCACAAAAUUAAUGCUUAGAUUGUUGCUUUUACUAUUAUAAAUAAUACGACAGUAUGCAUCAUGUGGGUAAUUUUUGAGUAAUUACCUUUGUAGUAAUUACUAUGUUUUGAGUAAUUACCUUUGCAGAAGUUUGCAAAAAAGAGUUACUGUGUUAAAGAGCAAGAAAACUGCCUCUCCAUGUGCAUUGCUAAAUUGCCUUUUAGAUGAGUUUGGUAGAAAAAAGAACUUUCAUCACCACCCUAUGGCCAUUGAGUAACACCAAAAUGAAUGUGUUUGCUUUAUGUCAAAAUCAUCAAAAUGUUUAGCUCCUGAAUUUGAACUAAAAAAGGAUUCUCUUUCUGCCUUUUGUUAUGGGUAGAAAGACAUACAGGAGCUAACGAAUUUAGAUCAUUCUGAAGGGAGAUGCUGCACUUCAGUGUUCUUUCACAGCAGUCUGACUGCACAGAAGUGAAAGUGAGCUGACUUUUCCUGCUGUGCUGCCCUUGUGGUAGGUGGUGUUCCCCGCACUCCAGUGAGACAGAAGAUGAAUACCAUGUGCCGUUCCCUGAAGAUGUUGAACGUUGCAAGGCUGAAUGUAAAGGCUCAGAAGUUACAUCCAGAUGGCAGUCCAGAUGUGGCUGGAGAGAAGGGGGUCCAAAAGAUAGCCAGUGGAAGAACAGCAGAUAAACUGGAAGACAAAGGAAGAAC
RNAcentral lists this long non-coding RNA (6488 nucleotides) under Marmota monax (woodchuck). Lineage: Eukaryota; Metazoa; Chordata; Mammalia; Rodentia; Sciuridae. The record is from RNAcentral.